CCAGAAAGUUACUGGAAUAAUUUAUGCCUCCGCCACAAGGAGACAUAUCUCUGGCAUAAUGUACAUUGUCAUCAGACUUGGUAUUUAC
RNAcentral lists this small RNA (88 nucleotides) under Arabidopsis thaliana (thale cress). RNAcentral's name for it is "ATSL022980". Lineage: Eukaryota; Viridiplantae; Streptophyta; Magnoliopsida; Brassicales; Brassicaceae. The record is from RNAcentral.